UGAUUAAUUUAAUGGCCGCGGUAUUUUGACCGUGCAAAGGUAGCAUAAUCAUUAGUUUAUUAAUUGUGAACUUGUAUGAAUGGUUUAACGAAACAUUAUCUGUCUCAAUUUAAUUAUUAGAAUUUAAAAUUUAAGUUAAAAUGCUUAAAUUUUUUUGGAGGACGAGAAGACCCUAUAGAUCUUUAAUUAAUUUAUUUUAAUCCUUUUUGGAAUAUUAUUUGGUAUAAUUUAAAUUAAUUUUUGUUGGGGUGACAUUUAGAUUUAUUUAACUCUUUUUAAUUUUUAUCAUUUAUUUAUGAUUAUGUGACCUAUUAUUAUUGUUUAUAAGAUUUAGAUACCUUAGGGAUAACAGCGUUAUCUUUCUUGAGAGUUCUUAUCGACAGAAAGGAUUGCGACCUCGAUGUUGGAUUAAGAUUAUAUUUGGGUGUAGAUGUUCAAAUGUUAGGUCUGUUCGACCUUUAAAUUCUUA
RNAcentral lists this ribosomal RNA (469 nucleotides) under Calynda coronata. RNAcentral describes it as "partial 16S ribosomal RNA". It matches the Rfam family "Bacterial large subunit ribosomal RNA", at positions 1916 to 2598 of the family's 2925-position model. Lineage: Eukaryota; Metazoa; Arthropoda; Insecta; Phasmatodea; Diapheromeridae. The record is from RNAcentral.